UACGGAGGAUCCAAGCGUUAUCCGGAUUUAUUGGGUUUAAAGGGUGCGUAGGUGGCUUUGUAAGUCAGUGGUGAAAGUUUUCAGCUUAACUGGAAAAUUGCCAUUGAUACUGCAGGGCUUGAGUACAGAUGAGGUAGGCGGAAUGUGUCAUGUAGCGGUGAAAUGCAUAGAUAUGACACAGAACACCGAUUGCGAAGGCAGCUUACUAAACUGAUACUGACACUGAGGCACGAAAGCGUGGGGAUCAAACAGG
RNAcentral lists this ribosomal RNA (253 nucleotides) under uncultured bacterium. RNAcentral describes it as "partial 16S ribosomal RNA". It matches the Rfam family "Bacterial small subunit ribosomal RNA", at positions 524 to 776 of the family's 1533-position model. The record is from RNAcentral.